This 396-nucleotide unclassified non-coding RNA is filed under the name Hevea brasiliensis (rubber tree). The record is from RNAcentral. Lineage: Eukaryota; Viridiplantae; Streptophyta; Magnoliopsida; Malpighiales; Euphorbiaceae.
AAAUGAUCCAUGAACACCAUUAUUGUGAAUUGAGAUCCAAAAUGAAUAAUGUAAGGAAUGUAUGAAUUAUGAUGAAUGUAUAAACUAUACAGAAUUGUGAUUUAGAAAUUUAUACUUUUGCUAAGAACAAAAUUAAAACAUUAUAAAUUAUAAUUGAAAUUUAUAAUGAAAUAAUGAAAUAAGAAGAUAUAUUAAUAUUUAAUGGUACUUAUGUGCCCAUGUAUUGCCUAGACACGUGUGUCAGAUUGGAUAGAUUGGCAUGCCAAUAGGGUAUUAUUUUAGCAGUACUGCGAAAGGCUUUAUGCCUGUGUUCAUGGCUUUUAUGCCCGUAUUCAUGGCUUUUAUGCCCGAUUAUGUGAUAUCAUGGCUUUUGGCCAUACUGACUGCAUACGUGGU